AACCGCAAUGUGUUCCAGAAACUUGCCCAGAGGGUUACAGGCUGUUACCAAACGAAAACAGUAGUACUAGUUGUUAUUUGUAUGGUGACAGAAUACCGUGGGAGGAAGCUCGGUCGAUUUGUGCCAGUACACCAGGUGCCUACAUGUGGAGACCGAACACGGAACAAGAAGCCAGUUAUGUUUUCCAGGAAUUUAUUCAUCCCAAUGAAAAUACUUUAUGGACUGGUGCAAAUGAUAGAGACGGUGAUGGGACCUAUACAUUUUACAAAGAAAAUGGUCCAUUUUCAAAAGAUCUUCCCCCAUUUG
Mytilus trossulus (common blue mussel) is the source of this 306-nucleotide long non-coding RNA. RefSeq lists it as uncharacterized. NCBI's taxonomy places the organism in Eukaryota, Metazoa, Mollusca, Bivalvia, Mytilida, Mytilidae. The transcript has 3 exons. The record is from RefSeq and is a predicted model, not a curated record.